Molecule: non-coding RNA, 596 nt
Organism: Xyrichtys novacula (pearly razorfish)
Lineage: Eukaryota; Metazoa; Chordata; Actinopteri; Labriformes; Labridae
Source: the annotation of a GenBank genome assembly
UUUGGCAUUAGGGUUAAAAUCACUGUCCAAAACCUUUGUAGGAACUCUUUUCCAACCUUUUGGAGUUGGUUACACCAACAAAAAUGUAAAAUGAAGAAAAAAAUAUUUGGGGUGUUCAGGCUUCCUGAAGGUAAUACCAGGGUAUUAGAUUUUAAGGCUAGGGUAAGGUUUAAGGUUUUUGGCGUUAGGGUUAAAAUCACUGUCCAAAACCUUUGUAGGAACUCUUUUCCAACCUUUUGGAGUUAGUUAGACCAAAAAAUAUGAAAAAAGAAAAAAAUAUUAUUGGGGGUUUUCGGGCUCCCUGAAAGUAAUACCCGGGUAUUAGGUUUUGGGGCUAUGGUAAGGUUUAAGUUUUUUGGCGUUAGGGUUAAAAUCACUGUCCAAAACCUUUGUAGGAACUCUUUUCCAACCUUUUGGAGUUAGUUUGACCAAAAAAAAAUGAAAAAUGAAAAAAAAAUAUUUGGGGAGUUCAGGCUUCCUAAAAGUAAUACCCAGGUAUUAGGUUUUGUGGCUAGGGUAAGGUUUAAGUUUUUUGGCAUAAGGGUUAAAAUCACUGUCCAAAACCUUUGUAAGAACACUUUUCCAACCUUUUGGAA